Molecule: non-coding RNA, 29 nt
Filed under: Mus musculus (house mouse)
Lineage: Eukaryota; Metazoa; Chordata; Mammalia; Rodentia; Muridae
Source: RNAcentral
UAGGUCCUCCUAAUCCUUUUGGAUACAAU